Molecule: transfer RNA, 72 nt
Filed under: Camelus bactrianus (Bactrian camel)
Lineage: Eukaryota; Metazoa; Chordata; Mammalia; Artiodactyla; Camelidae
Also listed under: 2 other names
Rfam family: tRNA
About the family: Transfer RNA (tRNA) molecules are approximately 80 nucleotides in length.
Source: Rfam by way of RNAcentral
GAGGGAAUAGCUCAGUGGUGGAGUGUAUGCUUAGCAUGCACUAGGUCCUGGGUUCAAUCCACAGUAUCUCCA